UGGGAAUCUGCCCUAUGGUUCGGAAUAACUCAGGGAAACUUGAGCUAAUACCGGAUAAUGUCUUCGGACCAAAGAUUUAUCGCCAAAGGAUGAGCCCGCGUAAGAUUAGCUAGUUGGUGGGGUAAAAGCCUACCAAGGCGACGAUCUUUAGCUGGUCUGAGAGGAUGAUCAGCCACACUGGGACUGAGACACGGCCCAGACUCCUACGGGAGGCAG
Molecule: ribosomal RNA, 216 nt
Filed under: uncultured bacterium
Lineage: Bacteria
Description: partial 16S ribosomal RNA
Rfam family: Bacterial small subunit ribosomal RNA
Source: RNAcentral